Molecule: long non-coding RNA, 1071 nt
Filed under: Anolis carolinensis (green anole)
Lineage: Eukaryota; Metazoa; Chordata; Lepidosauria; Squamata; Anolidae
Description: lncRNA (ENSACAG00000035375.1)
Source: RNAcentral
AUGAAUGCUCAAGUCUCACGAAGUGCAGAGGUGAAAGUUUGCAAGAUGACCACAGAAAUCAAGAUGGGCCAAAGAUCUUGCCUGGAACCACACCGUUUUGAACGUUUUUCGGAGUGGCACAGUCUUCUUAGAGCAGUAGCUAGGCUUAUACAUCGUUUAGCUUGCAAAGAUAGUGAGCCUUUACAGGUCCAGGAUAUGAUAAAGGCUAAGAGCGUCAUAUUCAAGUCAGUGCAGAGAUCUGCUUUCAAGCAGGAAAUAGCUAGGCUAGAGCAAGGGCUCAACAUCCCUAAUCAAAGUCUUCUAAAUGAGUUAAACCCAUUUCUAGACAAGGAGGGUAUUUUGAGAGUUGGAGGAAGGUUAGCCAAAGCUAAACUCAAGGCGUGCAUAAAGAACCCCAUCAUCAUACCCCCUAAUAGUCACACUGCAUUGCUGCUCGUUCGGCAUCACCAUGAAAGGAUCCAUCAUCAGGGUAGAACUCUAACUGAGGCAGCCCUUAGAAAUGAAGGUCUGUGGGUAGUUAAUGCCAAAAGGUUGGUCAACAGUUGUAUUUUCAAAUGUGUUAAAUGCAGGCGCCUUAGGCGAAACUGUCAAAGUCAGUUAAUGGCAGAACUACCUCAGGAUAGGACUUUGACAGACCCACCCUUUUCCCAUGUGGGAAUCAAUGUGUUUGGUCCUUGGGAAAUUGUUACAAGAAAAACCAGUGGUGUUGUAAAUAACAAAAGAUGUGCGGUUUUGUUUACUUGUUUAGUAAUACGAGCUGUCCAUAUAGAAGUCAUAGAAGGGAUGGACACUUCAUCAUUUUUAAAUGCAUUGAAAAGGUUCAUAGCCCUCAGAGGGCCAAUUAAGUCAAUUCGAUCGGACUGUGGCACCAAUUUUGCAUGUGCAGACCUUAGCCAACCACUUCUGGAAGAGGUGGAAGGCCGAAUACUUAAGCCAGCUUCCAACCAGAAGACUCUGGCUAACCCCAGAGGACAAUUUCAAGGUGGGAAACCUUGUGUUGCUAAAGGACAAAGACUUGCCCCGCUAUGCCUGGCCUAUGGGCAUUACACUAAAGACCUUUCCUUGCCCUGA